RNAcentral lists this ribosomal RNA (653 nucleotides) under Staphylococcus sp. HMSC069D04. RNAcentral's name for it is "bacterial SSU rRNA". It matches the Rfam family "Bacterial small subunit ribosomal RNA", at positions 1 to 635 of the family's 1533-position model. The record is from RNAcentral. Lineage: Bacteria; Bacillati; Bacillota; Bacilli; Caryophanales; Staphylococcaceae.
UUUUAUGGAGAGUUUGAUCCUGGCUCAGGAUGAACGCUGGCGGCGUGCCUAAUACAUGCAAGUCGAGCGAACAGACAAGGAGCUUGCUCCUUUGACGUUAGCGGCGGACGGGUGAGUAACACGUGGGUAACCUACCUAUAAGACUGGGAUAACUUCGGGAAACCGGAGCUAAUACCGGAUAAUAUUUCGAACCGCAUGGUUCGAUAGUGAAAGAUGGUUUUGCUAUCACUUAUAGAUGGACCCGCGCCGUAUUAGCUAGUUGGUAAGGUAACGGCUUACCAAGGCGACGAUACGUAGCCGACCUGAGAGGGUGAUCGGCCACACUGGAACUGAGACACGGUCCAGACUCCUACGGGAGGCAGCAGUAGGGAAUCUUCCGCAAUGGGCGAAAGCCUGACGGAGCAACGCCGCGUGAGUGAUGAAGGUCUUCGGAUCGUAAAACUCUGUUAUUAGGGAAGAACAUACGUGUAAGUAACUAUGCACGUCUUGACGGUACCUAAUCAGAAAGCCACGGCUAACUACGUGCCAGCAGCCGCGGUAAUACGUAGGUGGCAAGCGUUAUCCGGAAUUAUUGGGCGUAAAGCGCGCGUAGGCGGUUUUUUAAGUCUGAUGUGAAAGCCCACGGCUCAACCGUGGAGGGUCAUUGGAAACUG